AUUCCCAGGAGAUUUUGACAGUAAGAAAAGGACCAGCUCGAUGCCUCCCCAAAGUGAGCAGCGAGGGAACCAAGAGCCAUGCCCUGAGAAGCAAGAGCUGGAGAACACUACAAAUGAAACUACAAACCCAAAGAACAACUUUGCUUGAACUUUG
This is a long non-coding RNA of Manacus vitellinus (golden-collared manakin), 154 nucleotides long. RefSeq lists it as uncharacterized. NCBI's taxonomy places the organism in Eukaryota, Metazoa, Chordata, Aves, Passeriformes, Pipridae. The transcript is spliced from 3 exons. The record is from RefSeq and is a predicted model, not a curated record.